Bufo gargarizans (Asiatic toad) is the source of this 5304-nucleotide RNA transcript. It is a transcript of the gene named HAUS augmin like complex subunit 8, with no coding region annotated. The record is from RefSeq and is a predicted model, not a curated record. NCBI's taxonomy places the organism in Eukaryota, Metazoa, Chordata, Amphibia, Anura, Bufonidae. The transcript has 2 exons.
GGAUGCACAGCAUUUAGAGCGGAGCUGCGGGAGCCCCUUGGUUGAUACCCGUGGGAGGAGGGCCUACCCGAGCGGCGUAAGUCUUCUUCGGAAGCCGCUGCUGAAGUCUGGACACUUGGACUCCCCUCUCGUCCGGUCACUCCCCCGUCGGGGCUGCUUUCUGUAUCCCCGGCUUGGCGAACCUCUACGGCUGCCGCUGGCGUUCGCGCGGCGCAGUCACUUCCGGGUUGGUCAGGCCGGCGCUGACGUCAUUAGUCGGCGCCGGAUCCUGGCCUCCGGCUUUCAGCAGUGGGAGGAGGCGUGGCCUUGGACCGGAUGGGGAGGAUGCCGGUGCGCGCCCGGCAAGUUCAAAUCCAGCCAGCUCUCACUGCAGGCUGGUGUUUUGGCCUGCAGUGAUCUCCAUUGAUGAAAGCCAGUGGCAGAAAAUGGAGCCCACACAGCGCGCGGAACCCACUGAAACCACCAACGAAUCCUCGGUGCCGGUGGGGGUAAUAGGGGCGAAUGCCCUGCCUUUCCAUUUAUCUCAGAACCUGAUAGUUGUCUUUGUUUCGUGUAUUGAGACUUCCAAAGAGAGAAGGGGGUCAAGGUCCAAGGAGCGGGGCUGCGCUAUUUGCAAGAGUAAGCUACCGUCCGGUUGGGGCAAACCUGCAUGCCAGGCCUGCGUGGGCAAAUUAUUGGAGGAUGAGGCCCCUUCUCUCUUAUCAAGCCUAAAAAGAUUAUUAAGGAUGAGGUUAAAGAAUCAGUAAAAGAAUCCUUGAGUAAUCUGCUUGAAGAUUGCCCUAGCACUUCCGCUGCUGUCUCUGUUCCCGCUUCCAGUGAUCAGGAGUUGUUAUCGGGAUUAGAGGAGGAGGGGGAACUUCCGUCCUCGGAUCAUUCCCAGGACGAGCAGCUGGCAGGGAGACCCUUGUUCCUCCCAGAGAACAUUAAUUCCCUAGUUGGGAUCGUCAGGGCAACUAUGGGGCUUGAUGACCAAGCAGAACCCCAGUCCAUGAGGGAUUCCAUGUUCGAGGGCCUAGGUCCCAGAAGACUAAAAUGUUUUGAUGUGCAUGAAAACAUAACUUCGGUUAUUAAGAAUGAAUGGAGCAGGCCGGAUAGAAAAUUUUUCGUGCCUUCUGCCUUAAAAAGGAAGUAUCCCUUUGAGGACAAAGCCUCAGCUGAUUGGGAUAGAGCCCCAAAACUGGAUGCUCCGGUAGCGAAGAUUUCUAAGAGAGCAGCCCUCCCGUUUGAAGACUCGGGAACUCUAAAAGAUGCAAUGGACAGAAGAGCCAAGGUCUAUUUAAAGAAGAACUGGGAGGCGACGGCUGGCUCUUUCAGGCCCGCUAUAGCCGCCACUUCUGUUGCCAGGUCUUUAAAGGUCUGGAUGAAAGAGAUGGAGGAACAGAUGAAGAAGGGAGCGCCCGUGGAACAACUUCUCUCGUCAUUCCCAACUCUGUAUAGUGCCAUUGACUUCUUAGCAGAUGCCUCAGUGGACUCCCUGAAGCUGUCAGCGAGAGCCGCAGCUCUUUUGAAUUCCGCCCGUAGGGCGAUUUGGUUAAAGGAUUGGAAAGGAGACGCAGGGUCAAAGGCGAAAUUGUGUGCUAUUCCCUGUCAGGGGGAAUUUCUUUUCGGGCCCACGUUGGACGAUCUGCUGGAAAAGGCUUCUGACAGAAAAAAGGGUUUCCCUUCUAUUCAUCAGCAGCCUCCUAAGAAGCCCUUUCGUUCUCAGUCUGCCAGGUUUAACUUCAAGAGAAGAGAAACUCCCAGGCAGUCUGGUAAUGCGGCCAGAAGGAGCAAAGGUUUUCUUUUUUCAGGUGGAGAGGCCUCUAAAAAGCCUCCGCAAUGACGCCAGGUCCCCGGUUGGAGGUCGUCUCUCCCUCUUCGCAGAGCAAUGGCGGAAGAUCUCGAACAGCCACUGGAUCCUUUCAAUCAUUUCACAGGGCUAUUGCCUGAACUUCCUGAGAACUCCUCCAGAAAGGUUCGUUUUGACGGACUAUCGCUCCAGCCCAGAGAAGCUAGAAGCAUUGCGUCUGGAAAUUUCAGAUUUACUAAAGAAAAGGGUCCUGCAGGAGGUUCCAGCUCAAGAGAGGGAGAGGGGCUAUUAUUCGACACUUUUUCUUGUAAAGAAGCCGAAUGGCACCUUCCGUACCAUAAUAAAUCUGAAGCUGCUCAACAAAUACCUGGUGUACGAGAGAUUUCGUAUGGAGACUAUCAGUUUCAUAAUCCCGAAUUUAUUCCUGGGCUGCUACAUGGCGACCCUGGACUUCAGGGACGCUUAUUACCACGUCCCAAUCCAUCCCAGUCACCAGAAGUACCUGAGGGUAGCAGUUCAGUUCCCGGACAGACUCCUACACGUACAGUUUCGGGCCCUGCCGUUUGGGUUGUCUCAGGCACCCAGGCUUUUCACGAAGAUUGUAGCAGAGAUGAUGGCUCAUCUGAGGGAGAAGGAUCUGAUUGUCAUUCCCUAUCUAGACGAUUUCCUCCUUCUCUCUUGGGAACCGGAUCAAUUAAUCGAAGGGAUUUCCUGGGUCAGGGAGGUGCUGGUAAAGUUGGGUUGGGAGUUAAAUAUCCAGAAAUCCAAUCUUGUGCCAAGCCAGAUAUGCACCUUUCUGGGGCUGCUCCUGGACUCCCAGAAGCAAAUGUGUUUUCUUCCAACACAGAAAGUCUCUCUGCUAGUCUCCAGGGUUCAGGACAUUGUGACUCGCCGUUCCAUCUCUCUAAGAGAGGCUAUGUCAGUUCUGGGCCUAAUGACGGCCGCAAUCCCGGGGGUAGAAUGGGCCCACUUCCACUCGCGGUCACUUCAGCUGCAGAUCCUGGGAGUUUGGGACAAAGAUCCCCUAUCCUUGGAUUCUCUCUUCUCCCUUUCAACUCAAACGAUAAAAGAUCUAGAAUGGUGGACGGUGCCUUCCAACCUUCAAAAAGGUGUCCCUUGGUCAAGGCAGGAUCCCCUCUCUCUGACUACAGACGCAAGUCCUUGGGGUUGGGGAGCUCAUACAGAUUCUCUACUUCUGCAGGGACAGUGGAAUCAGGAGAUAGUUCCAAGUCUCACAACUUCAAGGAACUUCUAGCGAUCCUCAUGGCCUUGAAAAAGAGCCUCCACCUUUUAAAAGGCAGAAAUGUUCUGAUCUACUCAGACAACAUGACGGCAGUAGCUCAUAUCAAUCGUCAAGGGGGGACCAGAUCUCCAGAUCUAAUGUCUCUCACCAGGGAUAUUUUCGAAAUAGCAGAGGGUUUCCUUCCAUCGAUCAGGGCAGUACACUUAAAGGGAAGGGAGAAUGUGACGGCAGAUUUUCUGAGCAGGCAUUGUGUUCGGCAGGGGGAAUGGUCCCUAAAUCAACAGGUUUUCAGCGACAUUGUGGCUCUUUGGGGUCUCCCGGUGGUGGAUCUCUUUGCCACAAGGGAAAACAGAAAAGUGGAAAGGUUCUUCUCUCUAUCCCCACUAGAGCGGCCCACUGCAGUGGACGCAUUGGCCCAAUCAUGGAGAGUAGGCCUCCUGUACGCCUUCCCUCCUAUAAAGCUACUCCCGAGAGUCCUGAAGAAGAUUCGGGAGAAGGCCCUAGUAAUUACUAUAGCCCCCUUUUGGCCCAGGAGGGUCUGGUUUUCCUGGCUAAGGAGGAUGUGUCAGUAGCAGAUCCCUGGGUACUUCCCGUCUUCCCGGGGCUACUAGUACAGGGGCCGUUACUUCAUCCACAGUUGGAGAGUCUGCACUUGACAGCCUGGCUGUUGAGAGGCAGAUCCUAGAGAUGAAGGGUCUUUCCGGGGAAGUGAUAGACACACUUUUGUCCAGCAGGAAAGCUGUUACCUCUAAGAUCUAUUUGAGGGUUUGGAGGGCCUUCCUUCGAUUUGCAAAUAAGCCAGUUAAUGUCUUGGAACCCCCGGAGUUGCCUCUAGUCCUGAGCUUCCUCCAGGAAGGCUGGAAUAAGAAACUGAGGCCUAGUACUUUAAAGGUCCAUAUCUCUGCCUUAAGUGCUCUCUCUGAGUAUAAGUUAGCAGACCACCCCUGGAUUAAAAGAUUUGUAGUUGCAAUCUCAAGACUUGCUCCCGUCCAGAAGUCCAGAGUUCCCCCCUGGGAUUUAAAUCUAGUCCUGUCUGCCUUAACCGGAGAUCCCUUUGAGCCCAUUGAGGACAUCCCAAUUAAGAUCUUAACCUAUAAAUUAGUUUUCUUGCUAGCCAUUACUUCAGCUAGAAGAGUGAGUGAGAUUUCGGCCUUCUCUAUCGAGAAACCGUAUCUUAAUAUUUUAGAAGAUAGGGUUAUUUUAUCUCCUGACCCUGCCUUCCUUCCAAAGGUUUCAUCAUCCUUUCAACGGUCUCAGGAUAUAGUUUUACCUUCCUUCUGUUCCUCACCCAAGAAUCAGAAGGAGAGGGAAUUUCAUUGCCUCGAUGUUAGAAGGUGUCUAAUUCAAUACCUUUCUGCCACUCAGGACUGGAGGUCGUCCUCUAAGCUUGUGGUUUCCUUUCAGGGACAGAAGAAGGGCUCCCCUGCUUCCUCUCAGUCCAUUGCCAGGUAUAUAAAACAGGCCAUUUAUCUGGCAUAUUCCUCUAAAGGGGUUCCUCCUCCUGCCGGGUUUGGAGCACACUCAACGAGAGCAGUGUCUACAUCCUGGGCAGAAAGAGCUUCCGCUUCUAUUGACCAGAUUUGCAGAGCGGCUACAUGGAGUUCUGCUCAUACCUUCUUUAAGCACUAUAGGCUGCAGCUUCCUUCACAGGAAGGUUUAGAGUUUGGGCGUAAAGUCCUCCAAGCAAUUGUCCCACCCUAGAUAAUCUCGCCUAGAUAUCCAUGGGUGCUGUCAUAGGCGAGGGGGGAAACAUGUGAUUACACUUACCGGUAAUUGUUUUUCCUUGAGCCUGUGACAGCACCCGCCUAAUUCCCUUCCAAAAAAAAAUAAUUAUUAAAUAAAUAAGAUAAAAAGAGACAAAAGGAAAAAAAAAAAAAAAAAAAAAAAAAAAAUAUAUAUAUAUAUAUAUAUAUAUAAUAUUUUUAUAUUUAUAUAUAGAAAGAGAUAUUUACGUGUGUGUUUGUAUGUACUUCUAUAUACACACGGAUAUAAGCGUUUGUUCUGUUGUAGAUUUGUGGUGUAGUUUUUGUCUCCUUAGUUCUUGGAAUAGGACUGGCAUGAUGGGGGUUGUACCUCCCUUUUGAAGAGGCUGUGCUUCCUGUUUCCUGUCCUGAGGAAGGGGGCGGAUGCUAUCCAUGGGUGCUGUCAUAGGCUCAAGGAAAAACGAUUACCGAAUAAUGUUGCAAACACAACACCGUUACAAGCUGGAAAAAGCCAAGAAAAAAGUGGAAGCAAUACUCCCACUCGUAGAUCUGUGUUACCACCACGGUUA